GAUCGUGUGUCUAUCAGAGGAGGUCAGGAAUCAGAUGGAGGUGGAGAAGAAGGUGCAGUAGAAGAGCCAGCAUACAGCCAGCAUAGAAGAGAAGAUCCACAGGCUGAGAUGCCAGCUCUGGGAGGGGUCCUGAACAUGGAGGGUUCCCAGCCCUGUUGGACAGAAAAGCAACUCACUCAGAGACCGAACACCAAGCCAUACAGCAUGAGGUACAGUGAGUUCCUUAUGUACAACUCUGUCCAUAAAGGAAGAAGAGCUGAUCACUGCUAAAGGCCAGCAGGAUGAGUUGAGACAGCGGCUGAAGAACCAGUUUGACCAGCUACAGGCCAUGUCCAGGAAGUUAUGAACAUGCUUUGAGUGUGUAGAUUAGGUUAUAUCUAUAACUGUCAAUCAAACCUGGGUCAAAUAUGUAUUUCAAAUUAUUUAAAUAUUUAUGGGGGAAAUAUUGCAGGCUUAAGGAUUUAUACAAGCAUAAAUCUUACUCUGUUAAUCUUAGCUUUGCGCUAUACCCUGAGAAAGCAGGAAACGACUGGUUUCAUUAGACUUGUCUGACCCUGUUCAAGUGGGUCUGUACGGGAUACGGUUCCUGUUUUCUCAUGUGAUGAAGUAUGAGAUGCUUAGCAACACUGCAAAAUGUGUAACCAUAUAUGGACAUAUGGCUCUUUGCCAGCUGGCAAAGAUGGACGCUAAGGAAAGCUAUAAAAGACCAUUUAAAAUGUGUUUGGGGGGUCUUCGCUGUGUACCAUUUUGGGUCUAUGCUAACCAGCUACAUUUUUGCUAAUCUUAUUAAUAUAGAACUUUGCUGUUUGAGAGAACCUGCAACCUCUCUUGCUUUUCCCUUUAAUGUUUAGAAUUUCCACGACAUACUUCAGGUGCUCAUGAUUUAGCUCAACCAGCAGGCAGAGUUAGCACCUUUGGGACACUUCAGUUCUUUCCAUUGUGCCUAGAUCAAGCACACCUAAAGUCCUUUCAAAUACACUGUGAAUGUGACUUUUCUAAGAACUGCCUUUAAAUUCAGUUCUCUUGUUUACGGGAAGGUGUGAGGAACUCUUGAUAAUGCUGGAAGAGGAGAAUGGAACUUGUGAUAUGAUAACUUUUAAGCUACACUUCCUCUUAAGGAUCAGACUCUUUUUUUAAAUUUUCGCCUAAAAUGACAGACCCAAAUCUAACUGUCUGAAGCUCAGGGCCUCAAGCAAGGAUAUGCAUUUUCUUGGUACCAUUUGAAAUGAAACACUUUGAAGUUUGUGGAAAUGUGAAUCAGUGUAGAUGAAGGGAUGGUAGACAUGUUAAAGAAAGGUUUUUAAGCCUUGAGACAAUUUAGAAAUGGAUUGUGUAUGUGUGCCAUUCAGCAGAUAAAUGGGCAAGACAAAAGAUGUAAGUGCCUUUGACCAGGAUGUGGUAGUAGGUGGCAGGUCCACCAGUUUGUAUCAAGAACUGCAACACUGCUGUGUUUUUUCACACUCAACAGUUAUUGUCCUGUGUGUAUCAAGAAUGGUCCAACACCCAAAGGACACCCAGCAAACUUGACACAAUUUUGGGAAGCCUUGGAGUCAAGAUUGGCCAGCAUCCCUGUGGAACCCUUUCGACACCUUGUGGAGUCCAUGCCCCGACAAAUUGAGGCUGUUCUGAGGGCAAAAGGGGGUGCAACUCAAUAUUUAGAACGUGUUACUAAUGUUUCUUAUACUCAGUGUAUGAGCAUCAUCUAGUAAAAACAUAUGGAUGUAAAGGAAGGAAGUUUCACCCACAGCGAUUAUGGAUUAGGUUUUUCACUGGAA
Molecule: long non-coding RNA, 1775 nt
Organism: Oncorhynchus tshawytscha (Chinook salmon)
Lineage: Eukaryota; Metazoa; Chordata; Actinopteri; Salmoniformes; Salmonidae
Exons: 2
Source: RefSeq, a predicted model, not a curated record